GCUGGGUGUGGUGGUGGGCGCCUGUAAUCCCACCUACUUGGGAAGCUGAGGCAGGAGAAUCGCUUGAACCCAGGAGGCAGAGGUUGCAGUGUAACCGAGAUCAUGCCACUGCAUUCCAGCCUGGGCAACAGAGCGAGACUCUGUCUCAA
RNAcentral lists this non-coding RNA (149 nucleotides) under Nomascus leucogenys (northern white-cheeked gibbon). The record is from Rfam by way of RNAcentral. Lineage: Eukaryota; Metazoa; Chordata; Mammalia; Primates; Hylobatidae.